Molecule: ribosomal RNA, 473 nt
Filed under: uncultured bacterium
Lineage: Bacteria
Description: partial 16S ribosomal RNA
Rfam family: Bacterial small subunit ribosomal RNA
Source: RNAcentral
GAUAAACGCUGGCGGCGCACAUAAGACAUGCAAGUUGAACGGACUUAAUCGAAAUAUUUAUAUUUUGAAGCGGUUAGUGGCGGACUGGUGAGUAACGCGUAAGGAACCUGCCUAUUAGAGGGGAAUAACAGUGAGAAAUCAUUGCUAGUACCGCAUAUGCCAUAGAUAUCACAUGAUAACAGUGGGAAAGGAGCAAUCCGCUAAUAGAUGGCCUUGCGUCUGAUUAGAUAGUUGGUGGGGUAACGGCCUACCAAGUCGACGAUCAGUAGCCGGACUGAGAGGUUGAACGGCCACAUUGGGACUGAGAUACGGCCCAGACUCCUACGGGAGGCAGCAGUCGGGAAUAUUGCGCAAUGGAGGAAACUCUGACGCAGUGACGCCGCGUAUAGGAAGAAGGUUUUCGGAUUGUAAACUAUUGUCGUUAGGGAAGAGAAAGGACAGUACCUAAGGAGGAAGCUCCGGCUAACUACGUG